AGAGUUUGAUCCUGGCUCAGGGUGAACGCUGGCGGCGUGCUUGACACAUGCAAGUCGAACGGUAUGUGGUAACACAUAGAGUGGCGAACGGGUGAGUAACACGUGGGAACGUACCAUCUGCAGGGGGAUAACUGACCGAAAGGACAGCUAAUACCGCAUAAGUCCGGAAGGAGAAAGGUGCAAUAGCAUCGGCAGAAGAGCGGCCCGCGGUCCAUCAGCUAGUUGGUGAGGUAAGGGCUUACCAAGGCGACGACGGAUAGCCGGCGUGAGAGCGUGGCCGGCCACAAGGACACUGAGAUACGGGUCCUACUCCUACGGGAGGCAGCAGUGCGGAAUUUUAGAUAAUGGAGGGAACUCUGAUCUAGCGACGCCGCGUGCAGGAAGAAGGUCUUCGGAUUGUAAACUGCUGUGGUAAGGGAAAAAUGCUAUGUAGAGUGGAAAGCUACAUAGAGGGAUGGUACCUUACUAGAAAGCCCCGGCUAACUACGUGCCAGCAGCCGCGGUAAUACGUAGGGGGCGAGCGUUACCCGGAAUCACUGGGCGUAAAGGGAGCGUAGGUGGCCUAACAUGUCAACUGUGAAAACCCGGAGCUCAACUCCGGACUUGCAGUUGAAACUGGUAGGCUUGAGGACGGUAGAGGAAGACGGAACUGCCAGUGUAGGGGUAAAAUCCUUAGAUAUUGGCAGGAACGCCGGUGACGAAGGUGGUUUUCUGGGCCGGUUCUGACACUGAUGCUCGAAAGCCAGGGGAGCGAACGGGAUUAGAUACCCCGGUAGUCCUGGCCCUAAACGAUGAGUACUAGGUGCGGGGGGUAUAAACUCCUUCCGUGUCGCAGCUAACGCAUUAAGUACUCCGCCUGGGAAGUACGGUCGCAAGGCUGAAACUCAAAUGAAUUGCCGG
Molecule: ribosomal RNA, 900 nt
Filed under: uncultured bacterium
Lineage: Bacteria
Description: bacterial SSU rRNA
Rfam family: Bacterial small subunit ribosomal RNA
Source: RNAcentral